GACGAACCACACAAACGUUAUUCGGAAUUACUGGGCUUAAAGGGUGCGUAGGCGGCGCGGAAAGUAGGGUGUGAAAUCCCUCGGCUCAACCGAGGAAUUGCGCCCUAAACUACCGUGCUCGAGGGAGAUAGAGGUGAGCGGAACUUAGGGUGGAGCGGUGCAAUGCGUUGAUAUCCUAAGGAACACCGGUGGCGAAAGCGGCUCACUGGAUCUCUUCUGACGCUGAGGCGCGAAAGCGUGGGGAGCAAACAGG
This 253-nucleotide ribosomal RNA is filed under the name uncultured bacterium. RNAcentral's name for it is "partial 16S ribosomal RNA". It matches the Rfam family "Bacterial small subunit ribosomal RNA", at positions 524 to 776 of the family's 1533-position model. The record is from RNAcentral.